GCUGGUAGGUUACUGAUGUCACAAAGACACCAUGCUAAGAGGGUGAGUAAGGACUGAAUCCAGCUCACACUGGGCCUGCCAAGCUGUGUGCCCUGCACAAAACUGCCUGUCGUCAGCACCGCGCCUUUCUCUUCUUCACACAAAGGCACCUGAUGUGCCGGCAGCAGCCCUCAUUCAAGGCAAACACCACCAUGGCAGAUGUAGUGCAGUCCCAGUAACCAGCUGCUAGUGUCAAGGUGCAAGCCAUCCAUGCGGCAAGUAUGGAUUCCAGAGCUGGCAAGCAUCAGGGGCUCACCGAUGAUGGCAUAUUCUUGACGAUGUUGGUGUUCUGACCGUGUACCCUGAUUGUACUGGCUUCCCGACUGUGGCAGCGUUUUAGAAGAAGCUUUAAUGGCCUAAGAAAAGUUUACAAUACAAUGUUAAGCAAUAAAGAAGAAUAUGAAACUGUACAUGU
Molecule: long non-coding RNA, 454 nt
Organism: Eptesicus fuscus (big brown bat)
Lineage: Eukaryota; Metazoa; Chordata; Mammalia; Chiroptera; Vespertilionidae
Exons: 3
Source: RefSeq, a predicted model, not a curated record